Molecule: long non-coding RNA, 900 nt
Organism: Neopsephotus bourkii (Bourke's parrot)
Lineage: Eukaryota; Metazoa; Chordata; Aves; Psittaciformes; Psittacidae
Exons: 2
Source: RefSeq, a predicted model, not a curated record
GAGUGACUGGAAAGCUCCUUUUCUGCAAGUAGGUGAAGGGGUGGCUGGCUCCAGCCCGGGGGCGGGCAGUCAGGGUGCAGCUGGCUGGGGACGGCGCUUCACCUCGGUUUAAACUGUAACCCUCUAUUCCGAGCACGCAGCUCCUGGCAGCGCCGCUCAUACCAAAGCCUUGACUCAGGGUUAUCUGCAUGCUGGGUAAGAAGCAGCGUCACCAGAGGAAUGUGCAGAGAAAGCAGCCAUGCUGCUGCAAGCCUCCGCUCGCUCCCCAGGCAAAUCACGGAUUUAACAGCGUGUUCCUGCCUCUGGGCCUCUGACGGCUAGCGAGGGGUAGGGAGCUGGUCCCGGGAGCAGGGCUGCCCCAAGUCUGUCUGGAAGCCAAAAUAGCAUUUUGUCCUUCCAUAAAAAUGAAAUUGCUGAGUGUGGUAAGGAAUGGUUGCUGUCAGGGAAGAUCAAGAAAUGGAAAUGUACCCCUUUUGGGACAUAUGUCAAGGAGAUCUGGAGACCCUUAGCCUGAAAUAGAGGAUGAAGGAAGAACAAGUGCCAGAGGCAAAGGCAAUAAAGGAAAACUAGACAAGCUCUAUCCUUCAGCAGGCAGGGGUGAAAAAGAGGGAGACAUGCAGAAUUUUCUGGUUUAAAAGGGAGAUAUUCUGAAGCUGUUAGAAUGGACCUGCAAACAAGAACCAAAUGGUUACAGUUAUGAGCAGAAAAACUUUGCAAAGCAGCAGAGGCACUGGAAAUAAAAUUGGUAUUUGACCAGUAGGUUGUGAGGUGAAGAGUCCCUGCUACUGAUUCAUCCAUGAGUAAGAAACAGUGAGAAGUUCCUGAAAUAAGAGGCAGCAGAUCAUCAACAGCAAAGUUGCCACAAGAUGAUGGCUCUUAAAUGUGGAUCUUGUCAAAUAU